This 258-nucleotide ribosomal RNA is filed under the name uncultured bacterium. RNAcentral describes it as "partial 16S ribosomal RNA". It matches the Rfam family "Bacterial small subunit ribosomal RNA", at positions 793 to 1055 of the family's 1533-position model. The record is from RNAcentral.
GUCCACGCCGUAAACGAUGAUCACUCGUGAUUGGCGAUACACGGUCAGUCACCUAGCGAAAGCGUUAAGUGAUCCACCUGGGGAGUACGAUCGCAAGAUUGAAACUCAAAGGAAUUGACGGGGGGCCCGCACAAGCGGUGGAGCAUGUGGUUCAAUUCGAUGAUACGCGAGGAACCUUACCAGGGCUCGAACGCACGUAGACAGGGGCGGAAACGUCCUCUUCUUCGGACUGCGUGCGAGGUGCUGCAUGGCUGUCGU